RNAcentral lists this long non-coding RNA (1031 nucleotides) under Triticum aestivum (bread wheat). RNAcentral's name for it is "long non-coding RNA (TAES_LNC008962)". The record is from RNAcentral. Lineage: Eukaryota; Viridiplantae; Streptophyta; Magnoliopsida; Poales; Poaceae.
CAAUUUAUAUAUUUUAUUCGGUUCACCUCUGAUGGUUUUAACCCGUCGACCUUCUUCUGUCCAUGAACAGGUUUUCGGUCGGCCUUUUCGUAUUGCCGGACUGAUGGACAUGCUGUGAGAGAUCUGAAUGAUACUUCUCAGGAUUGGCGUAUCUGUGUGAGAGUUUGUCGGCUUUGGGAACAUCGUGAUGAGGGCAGGGAUGCUGAGGUCCUGUGUCUGCAUAUGGUUUUAGGAGGCAAGAAGGUUUGUUAGUGCUUUUUGUUGUACAUUGUUUCUGCUCCUGGUAUCUUUCUUCCAUGUGUUGCAUAAUGUUUCCCUUUGGGAUUUCGUUGGUGAGUUCAACUAAAUGGUUAGCUAUUUGUAGUCUGCUUUGCCUUGGCUCUCCCAAUUUGCUCAUUGAUUUUUGUUGUUGUUGCUGCAGGGUCAUGGUAUCCAUGCUAUUAUCUACACACAAGUGAAUAUUAGAGCCCUCGGAAUAAUAGCGUUCAUUUUACGUGUGACAGACGGGAGCUAUCCUGGUUCUUUUACUUAAAUGAAUAUCAUGGCCUUCCUUUGAAUUGUGUAUAUGCUUGCUAAUUUAUGUGUUUUUAGACAUAUGGCUAUCGUCGUUUUGUGGGGUUGGAAUGAAGAGCAAGUGGAUGCUGGUGAAUUGAUCAGGAGGAGCCGUAGGGAACCAGUGAUCAUGCUUGCUAUGGGGUGCAGUUUUAAGAUGCAGGAUUGUAUACCUCUUAUGAUCUGCGUUUUCAUUUUGGUUCAGUAUUACACAAUGGUUGCGUGUUGUUUCACUUUCAUGCUUUGCUGCUGUCUUUGGUUCUAACUUUUUAAUUAAUUUGCAUUCUGGAGGUAUGGUUAUGCUGACGGGGAGCUACGGGUCGAAGUUUUCAAUCAAUCUUGCUAAUCCAGGUGUAUCUGGCUUCCGUAACAAGUAAUUGUUGUUCUUAUCUGUUGAAGUGGCGUUAUUAUAAGCAGUGAUGUGUUCUCGCUGCUUGCUGACAGGGACCGGCAAUUUUAGCUCCACUGAGAUGGAAGAC